GACGAACGCUGGCGGCGUGCUUAACACAUUCAAGUCGAACGGUGAAGCGCCUUCCUUUUUGGUGGGUGUGGAUGAGUGGCGAACGGGUGAGUAACACGUGAGUAACCUGCCCCCUUCUUCUGGAUAACCGCAUGAAAGUGUGGCUAAUACGGGAUAUUCUGGGUCUGUCGCAUGAUGGGUCUGGGAAAGAUAUUGUUUCGGUGGGGGAUGGGCUCGCGGCCUAUCAGCUUGUUGGUGGGGUGAUGGCCUACCAAGGCGGUGACGGGUAGCCGGCCUGAGAGGGUGGACGGUCACACUGGGACUGAGACACGGCCCAGACUCCUACGGGAGGCAGCAGUGGGGAAUAUUGCACAAUGGGCGCAAGCCUGAUGCAGCGACGCCGCGUGAGGGAUGGAGGCCUGCGGGUUGUGAACCUCUUUCGCCAGUGAAGCAGGCCUGCCUCGUUUGUGGGUGGGUUGACGGUAGCUGGAGAAGAAGCGCCGGCUAACUACGUG
RNAcentral lists this ribosomal RNA (494 nucleotides) under uncultured bacterium. RNAcentral describes it as "partial 16S ribosomal RNA". It matches the Rfam family "Bacterial small subunit ribosomal RNA", at positions 28 to 507 of the family's 1533-position model. The record is from RNAcentral.